Molecule: long non-coding RNA, 309 nt
Filed under: Capsicum annuum
Lineage: Eukaryota; Viridiplantae; Streptophyta; Magnoliopsida; Solanales; Solanaceae
Description: long non-coding RNA (CANN_LNC018311)
Source: RNAcentral
CUCCUCCAUCAUAUUACUACAAUUCCCCACCACCACCAGUGAAGUCACCUCCAGCUCCAUACUACUACAAGUCUCCACCUCCCCCAACCCCGACAUAUGUUUAUAAGUCACCACCUCCUCCAUCACCAAAGUAUGUGUACAAGUCGCCACCUCCCCCAACCCCAACAUAAGUUUAUGAGUCACCACCUCCUACAUCACCAAAGUAUGUGUACAAGUCGCCACCUCCCCCAUCCCCAACAUAUGUGAACAAGUCAUGCACCUCCUCUAUCACCAAAGUAUGUGUACAAGUCGCCACCUCCCCCAACCCCG